UGAUGUUUAAUUCAUUCUGUUAUUUUUCCUUCCCCCCUCCCCUCCCACCCCUCUUUAUCAUCUAUAUAGUCCAUCUUUCCUCAAUUCUUGCCUCCCUCCCACCACUCUUUAAGUAUUGUCAUCUGCUUAUUAGCGAGAUUAUCUGUCCUUUGAUUUAGAGGUGGUACAGUCAUUGACUUCAGCAAAAGGGCCUGGAACUGGGUGCAUGAACAUGUAGACUAAGGUAAUUAUAAUUGUUUCCAAUGAACUUGAAGGUUACUUGACAAUUGUAGAUUGGGAGGGACUACUGGAACUACACUAUACUGGAAAAUUCUUGUCUCUCCCUCCAAAUCUACUCUCCAACCUUCUCUGACUUGAUUUGUGCUCCAGGAGGUGGAUCUGUGAGAAUUACCCUGAUGACCUAUGUUCUCUCUCUGAAUUCUAGUAGCAAGUUCCAGUCCAGAAAACAAUACAACAAUGUCAAAAGCAAAAGAGUAACAAUCAAGUUUAAUUCUGUAAUAAGUAAGCAAGUGCUACAAAUUUAUAGAAUACUCUAAGUGCAUUAUAGGAGAAAUAAGCAUAAACUGGGAAGAGAUUAUGUAGUUUAAGAUGCAUGAUAGAAGUGGAGGAAUGUUCUUUGGAGAAAUAACAUGGGGUUUGUCCUGACUCACCAUCUUAUUUCCCCACUUAAUUUUUCUCAUGUUCUUCAGAGAGAGCACUAGACUGCAUUAAGGAUUGCUUUCAGAAGAUGAUAUAUCAAGAGCAAGAAGACCCUAAAAUAUGACAAAACAGAGUUGCUUUCAUCUAGACCAGAGUAACUUUAGCUAAAUUUGAAAAGAACUACAUGCAAAACUCAAAUGUUCAAUUGAAAAAAUAUAAACAUUUUGAAUGCUGAGAUGAUGAACUUGUAAUCUAGUAUUGGUAAUUUGAAUUAUGCACUUCAUUUAUUCCAAUUCACCUAAUAAAUGUGAUUUUUGAAGUGCUGAUGUUCCUGUCAAGUAUCUCUACAGGGUGGCUCCUUUCCAUGUGGUGACUCUCAAAGAUGCAGGCUUGAUCCAGCUUGUGAAUCUGCCAUCUGUAAAACAAGGUUUCCUAACUUGAUGAAAUGGAAGAAGAGCAUUUAUGUCAACCUGGAAUUGAUGCUUUCCACUUCUGAUUAUAUUUCAUUGGCUAAAAUUAAUCAAAUAGCAUCACUUGUAUACAGAGGGCAAGCCAAUGUUCUCAAGUUCAGUUUUACACUAUAAAGGACCAUGAAUAUCAGUGACCUAUUAGGUCCCUGAUGUCAUGCAAGUGCACUGACUCAGGUAACUACAAAUAGGACAUGGUGGUACAUGACUAUUAUCCCCACAACUCAGGAGGCUGAAGUAGGAGGAUUGCAAGUUUGAGGCAGCCUGCAUAACUUAGAAAGAUCUUGUCUUGAAGUAAAAAGAAAAAAAAAAGAAUGCUGGAGGGCUUGGGAUGUAACUAACUUAUGCAGCUUAGUGGCAGAGUGGUAGAGUGACCUAGAUGCUAAAGAAUAAAUAAAUAAAUAAAUAAACACUGCAAAUAGUAGCUGUUCUCUAGAAGCUAGGAUCUGAUAAUUAAAUCUUCUAAAAUAUACAUCUGUAGGUGACUGGAGCAUAGGCUUACCUGUGAAGGAAUAAAAUAUUCUUUCUGAAAUGUUGUUUAAUUUGGAGCAGCUUUUAAAGUACUAGUUUCAUAAUUCUAGAACAUAUACAGCUAUGUUUGGUUCCCUAUGUUUUAUUGUUGAUUUGGAGAAAAUAUACUUGGAAGAAAUAUAUAUGAGUAAGCAUAAAAUAUAUAGAUUUUAUUUAAAAUUUAGAAGCUUGGUACCAUGGAAUUGAACUUUUGUUAUACCAUUUAUCUAAGAGAUGUGCUGAGUUCAUGUGCAGUUAAUCCUCCUAUCUCAUUAUGUCUUAUCAGUGACAAAAGAGCUCACAAGUCUAGUUCAAUUAUAAUUUAAAACAUUGACUAUGAGUGUUUUGCUAUUGAAUUCAUAAUGCAUCUAGAUAGUGUUUAAAGCCUAAGACAAUUAGCUCAUGCUAUUUUCUGGCCAAAUUGUAUAUCAGUUGUUGUAUAUAUGCCAAGAAUAUUAGAAAGCUCUGGUCAUUUGAAAAAUCUCUGAUUAAAUUAAAUAGUAUUAUUUCCUUUACAAAAUAAAAAAAAAACCUCGUACCUAUCAUUGAUCUUUCAUUACUCCUAUCACUACAGUGUAAGUUUGAAUUACAUUUUUUUCUGUUCCCUUGACAAAUGUUUAUUGUGUGU
Molecule: long non-coding RNA, 2244 nt
Organism: Sciurus carolinensis (gray squirrel)
Lineage: Eukaryota; Metazoa; Chordata; Mammalia; Rodentia; Sciuridae
Exons: 4
Source: RefSeq, a predicted model, not a curated record